GAUGAAGAACGCAGCGAAAUGCGAUAAGUAAUGUGAAUUGCAGAAUUCGGUGAAUCAUCGAAUCUUUGAACGCACCUUGCACCCUUUGGCAUUCUGAAGGGUAUGCUCGUUUGAGUGUCAUUGUACUCUCACACUCCCGAUCUUUGCAUUGGGAGCAGUGGACUUGGGUUUGCUGCUUCACCGUCGCUUACCUCAAAUAGGUUAGUGCAACUCUUGGUUGGACAUAGUACGGCGUGAUAAGUGUUCUUCGCCGGUGCCUCGCAAAGAGGGUGGCCGAUCGGGAUGUUGUGCUCCAAACCGUCUUCGGACAAUCUCUGACGACUUGACCUCAAAUCGAGUAAGACUACCCGCUGAACUUAAGCAUAUCAAUAAGCGGAGGA
RNAcentral lists this unclassified non-coding RNA (380 nucleotides) under soil metagenome. Its description in RNAcentral is "partial contains 5.8S ribosomal RNA, internal transcribed spacer 2, and large subunit ribosomal RNA". The stretch from base 1 to 120 matches the Rfam family "5.8S ribosomal RNA", at positions 35 to 154 of the family's 154-position model. The record is from RNAcentral.